AGAAUUUCAUAUUUUUAGCUACGUGGGAAUAAACCCCAGAAACAACACGCUUCAAAAAUUCAAAUGACCUCGCAUUAUUACAAAAUCGGGAUAGUUAAAUUAGACCUCUUACACAUUGUUUUUCAUCUCAUAAAAAAAUCGGCUCCUCUCUCGAGCGGAAACGCCCCAAAUUCAAAGGAAAAUUCGGAAUUAUUUUGCCUCAGCCAUACUGUAGUGACACAUGUAUCAUAACCAUUGCAAGUCAGCCAUCUUAUGCAAACAACGUAUGCCAAAAUGGCCGAUUUGAUAUGAACUUUUGAUUUGUUUCUUCUGAUUUAGAUUUACAAAAAUAAGAAUGGCCAUGAGUAAAGCAGAACCUGAUGAGGACAGAACAAGAUUUUGCAGAUUAAGUUUAGUUAUUGUUGAAGAAUUACCACUGAUAUUACAAGAUGUACUGUAUAGAGAAGUAUCUCCUAAUUUGUUACUUCAUAUGGUUAUGAAACAUAAAAAAGGUCUUGAACAUUUAGGACCACAUCAGAUAAUUCAAGUGAACAAUGCAAAGGCCAGUGGUUACAGUGAGUUUGAUAUCACGCUGCUGUAUACCCUUUUACGCAACUACUUCAAAAAAAGUAUUCAACCUCCCACCAAGGGUUGGGGAAAACAAGAAAUGCCAGAACAGGGACAGGAAACAGAAGGUGAUGACAUAGAGCGCAUUCGUCUUAUUAGAAACAAACAUAACCACAGUGUGAUGGUCUCCAUUCCUGCAAUAUCCGAAACUGAAUUUAAUGAAAAAUGGGGAAUAAUUCACGCUGUUUGUGCACGAAUGCAGACUAGGUUACCAAAUAUUCAGCACAAUUAUGUCCAAAUGCUGGAAGAGUCCAAAAUAAGAACAAUUGAUUCAGACAUGGAAAAAACAUAUAUUGACAAGAUUAAAGAACUUGCUAAAGAAGAAAUGUCUGUCAAAACAUUACUACUGGAACUUGUCAAAGAAAAAGACCUUACAUCUAAAGAGAAGAUCACAAUUCAAGCCAGGAAAGACCAUAAGAAAGAUGUUGUGAAAUCAUUUACUGAUGUUUCUAUUCGUAUUUUUAAUGAAAUGGUGGAUCCGACUUACAGAUUGACAUCAAAAUCAGAAUUAGAGAAACUAUAUAAAGCAACACAAAAAUUCCUAAAGGAACACAAAAAGGACAUUGAAGAUGAUCAACUACAAGUUUUGUUAAAAAGACUGGAAGAAAAAAUUAAGGCUUAUGCAAACCUGGAUGAGAAGAACAGAACAAAUAUUUUGAGCAAAUUUUUAAACUUUAACCUAAAAAUGAAGAAAAAAUACGGUGCCAGUAUGUCUUGCUCAAAUGGGAGCAUUAUCCUUUCAGUAACAUUUUCCUCAAAGGAAUGUUAUAGCCACUACAAAAAAGACCUUGAUAGAGGAAUCAUUGGAGAAGAAAUUCUGCAGAUCAUUCUAUAUCCGCCUUAUCUAGCCAGUUUUGAUUUAACAGCCGAAGAUUUGAUUGUAUGUUUGAAUGACCAUGAACUUACAGAGGAUAACAGAGGUGACAAGUCAGCAUACAGUUUAUCAUCUGACCUUGAGACAUGUGCCAACCAUCCAGACCAGUACUACACGUUGGCAUGUCAGCAAUGCCAACUUCCUGUCUGUGUGUUAUGUAUUGAAAUAUCUGAACACAAAAAUCACAGCUUUAUCGGCCUCAAUGUUAUGUUGCAGGACAAAUUGUCCUGGAUUAAUGAUGAAAUCAAACGGGGUCACACAUUUGAAGAACAAAUGAAGUUGGAAAAAAGCACUUUAGUCAAACAUAUCAGCGAUAUAGAGUUAAGAAUGAAAGUAAAACACCAAUCUCUAAAAGAUCAGCUUGAUGACGUUUUAAAAAGGAAUGUAGAAGGACUUAAGAAACAUCAAGAAUCACACGUGGAUGUGAUUGAUGAACAUCUUAAUGAUGCAGAGCAACAUGUCUCUUUUUUAGAGAAAAAUCUAAUUGAUGCCGCUAAAUGCCAACCUGCACAGGCACUCAUUCUUUUGAGUUCAUCACGCAGCUCUCUUGAAAAGGAUUUGUUCAAAACAUACAAGGUCGACAAACCAAGUUUUGAUGAAAGGAAAAAAGAAUUCAGAACAAUUAGCAACAUUUUUGGAAAGCUCUCUGCCUUUUCUAGCGAAGAAAGCGGAUCUAGUGAUGAUGAGGAAGAUUCAGAUUUUGAAUAUUCAAAACACACCAGGUCCAAAGAUUCGGCUAUUGUAAUGGACGAUCGGUUUAUAAGGAGCAAAAGGUUUUCCGAUCCCCUUUCUCCUUUUUCUUCCAUGGUAGACAAACUAGACGAUUCUUUUGACGAUUAGAAGAGAUUAGUUCAGAACGGGUUAGCUGAGACGAGCAGACAGGGAAUGGAAUACCAAUGACAGGAUAUGUAGCUGCCAUUUCCAAGAUGGAAACAAGGAGUUGGGCCCUACUGUUUUUUCAUACAGCAAGAUUGUAGGUCAUUUCCCAGAGAUACUAACAACAAAAAGGAAACGGUUAAGCAGUUCUUUAAACCCCCCUGAAACAACUACAUGUACUCCCCUUGAUCCAGUUCUAGAUCACAGCUAUUGUGACACAAGUGCUGACUGCCAAGCACACUCCAAGGAUCAGUCUAAAGAAGUAUCAGUCUUGGAGAAGCAGAUUGCUAAGCUACAAGAAGAAGUUACACGAUUAAAGCUACAGAAGCCAAAAAUGUCGAUUAGCGACAUAAUAGAUCAUACUGAAAAGGUGAGUUACAUAAAUGUGGAUAUAUUAGUAAAUAUAGACUUUACAACAUGUUCAAUUAGUGUGCUGAUAAUGAAACAUGUUAUUAUGCUUAAUUAACACAAUAUCUCCUUGUACAUAAAUAUUUGAACCUGAAGGGAUACCAAUACAUUUAAUCUUUGUUUUAUAUUAAAUAUAAAGAUUUACAAAUAAAGAAAGAUAAAAACUCAUAUUUAGUG
Molecule: RNA transcript, 2941 nt
Organism: Magallana angulata
Lineage: Eukaryota; Metazoa; Mollusca; Bivalvia; Ostreida; Ostreidae
Exons: 7
Source: RefSeq, a predicted model, not a curated record